GUUCAUGGCUCAGGAUGAACGCUAGCGGCAGGCUUAACACAUGCAAGUCGAGGGGCAGCAUAAUGGAUAGCAAUAUCUAUGGUGGCGACCGGCGCACGGGUGCGUAACGCGUAUGCAACCUACCUUUAACAGGGGGAUAACACUGAGAAAUUGGUACUAAUACCCCAUAACAUCAUGAAAGGCAUAUUUUAUGGUUGAAAAUUCCGAUGGUUAGAGAUGGGCAUGCGUUGUAUUAG
Molecule: ribosomal RNA, 236 nt
Filed under: uncultured bacterium
Lineage: Bacteria
Description: partial 16S ribosomal RNA
Rfam family: Bacterial small subunit ribosomal RNA
Source: RNAcentral